GUCAAACAGACAGGGCGAAACGACCAGUGUGGAAAAAAGCCGACAGCGCUCCGGAGUCUGUACCUUCUCGUCAGCUGGCAGAAGAUGAGGGCAUCGUCAAGGUCAUAUUUAGCUGCCCAUUCCUAAGGUCCCCUGAGAAAGACUGCUUUUUUGAACCGCAGAUGUCCAUCUGGUGAAAGUGCACUUAUACAGUGCUGUGGGAGGAGGUCCAUGACUUAAACCUCACAACAGUGGCAUUUUGGAAAAGGCAGCAAUUACCUGGCACGCACAAUGAUCCACUAAUCCCUGGAAUGACCAGAUUGCCUUAUGAGGAAAGGUGAGAC
This is a long non-coding RNA of Rhincodon typus (whale shark), 323 nucleotides long. RefSeq lists it as uncharacterized. The transcript is spliced from 3 exons. The record is from RefSeq and is a predicted model, not a curated record. NCBI's taxonomy places the organism in Eukaryota, Metazoa, Chordata, Chondrichthyes, Orectolobiformes, Rhincodontidae.